Molecule: ribosomal RNA, 308 nt
Filed under: uncultured soil bacterium
Lineage: Bacteria
Description: bacterial SSU rRNA
Rfam family: Bacterial small subunit ribosomal RNA
Source: RNAcentral
AGAACGAACGCUGGCGGCAUGCCUAAUACAUGCAAGUCGAACGAACACUUCGGUGUUAGUGGCGCACGGGUGCGUAACGCGUGGGAAUCUGCCCUUGGGUUCGGAAUAACAGUUGGAAACGACUGCUAAUACCGGAUGAUAUCGAAAGAUCAAAGAUUUAUCGCCCAGGGAUGAGCCCGCGUAGGAUUAGCUAGUUGGUGAGGUAAAGGCUCACCAAGGCGACGAUCCUUAGCUGGUCUGAGAGGAUGAUCAGCCACACUGGGACUGAGACACGGCCCAGACUCCUACGGGAGGCAGUAGGGAAUAUU